GUCCACGCCGUAAACGAUGAGUGCUAGGCGUUGGGGGUAUUGACCCCUCCAGUGCCGCAGCUAACGCGUUAAGCACUCCGCCUGGGGAGUACGGCCGCAAGGCUAAAACUCAAAGGAAUUGACGGGGGCCCGCACAAGCGGUGGAGCAUGUGGUUUAAUUCGACGCAACGCGAAGAACCUUACCUGGGUUAAAUCCACCGGGAUCCUUAGGAGACUAGGGAGUGCCCUUCGGGGAACCGGUGAGAAGGUGCUGCAUGGCUGUCGU
This 265-nucleotide ribosomal RNA is filed under the name uncultured bacterium. RNAcentral describes it as "partial 16S ribosomal RNA". It matches the Rfam family "Bacterial small subunit ribosomal RNA", at positions 793 to 1055 of the family's 1533-position model. The record is from RNAcentral.